Folsomia candida is the source of this 559-nucleotide long non-coding RNA. RefSeq lists it as uncharacterized. The transcript is spliced from 2 exons. The record is from RefSeq and is a predicted model, not a curated record. Lineage: Eukaryota; Metazoa; Arthropoda; Collembola; Entomobryomorpha; Isotomidae.
UGCUACAUAUGUAUUUCCCAAAAUACAAAAGUUAAUAAAAUCGUUGCAUCCUUAAAAUACUCGUCACUUCAAGACUUGCCUAUCUCAAGGAACCUUGUAAUUAUUUUUGUCAUCUCGUUACAUGCUCAAUUGCUGAAAGGAUUCUUUUCGUCGUGAUUUUGAUUUUAACGGUGAUCGCCCUUUCUCACGGCCAGAUCACUUGUGUCUGUUCGGCAACAAGGUGUACCGGAAAUGACCCACUAUACGAGUGUGGUAUUGGUCGAACCUGUAAACUUAUUGAGGCCUGCGGUUGGAGGUGUCAAGGGGGAUUUCUUCAAAGUUGCGUCGCAAUUUAGUUUGCCAUAAAUCAUUUCACUAUCUAUUGACCUUGGGGUAAAUUGAGAUGUGAGCUUGAUGAAAACUAAUGCGUCCAUCUAACAUUAAAACGAAAUAAUUUGAAUUAAGUCAAAAUUGAAAUGUCAAAAUGUUGAAUAAGCCAUACUGUAAAUUAUGAUAUGUUAACAAAUAAAUUUUUGGGAAGGAAAUAAAAUUGGACUAUGCCAUAUGUUUUGGUGAAUUC